Molecule: ribosomal RNA, 465 nt
Filed under: uncultured bacterium
Lineage: Bacteria
Description: partial 16S ribosomal RNA
Rfam family: Bacterial small subunit ribosomal RNA
Source: RNAcentral
CCUACGGGGGACUGCAGUGGGGAAUAUUGCACAAUGGGCGCAAGCCUGAUGCAGCCAUGCCGCGUGUAUGAAGAAGGCCUUCGGGUUGUAAAGCACUUUCAGCGGGGAGGAAGGGAGUAAAGUUAAUACCUUUGCCCAUUGACGUUACCCGCAGAAGAAGCACCGGCUAACUCCGUGCCAGAAGCCGCGGUAAUAAGGAGGGUGCAAGCGUUAAUCGGAAUUACUGGGCGUAAAGGGAACGCAGGUGGUGUGUUAAGUCAGAUGUGAAAUCCCCGGGCUCAACCUGAGAACUGCAUCUGAUACUGGCAGGCGUGAGGCUAGGAGAGGGAGGUAGAAUUCCAGGUGUAGCGGGGAAAUGCGGAGAGAUCUGGAGGAAUACCGGUGGCGAAGGCGGCCCCCUGGACGGAGACUGACGCUCAGGUGCGAAAGCGUGGGGAGCAAACAGGAUUAGAUACCCGGGUAGUC